CACAAGCAGCCUGGUAGCAUAUCUGUCUCGUGGGAGAUCGUGUCAACCAAACACCACCGUGCGUGUCAGCCAUGUCGCUCAUGCCUUGGUUCGGCGGCGGCCGGGGAGGGAUGGACCCCUUCUCCUCCGACCUCUGGGACCCCUUCGGCGCUUCGUGGCCCUUGGACGCCGGGCGCCGAGGCGGCGAAGGCGGCAGCCGUGACGACGCCACCGCCAUGGCUCGCACCAACGUCGACUGGCACGAGAACGACAAGGAGCACAUCUUCUCGGCCGAGAUCCCCGGGGUGAGGAAGGAGGACGUGAAGGUGGAGGUGGAGGACGGCAACGUGCUCAAGAUCAGCGGGGAGAAGACGCGGGAGGAGGAGCACAAGGGCGACGCCUGGAACCGGGUGGAGCGCAGCUUCGGGUCCUUCAUGCGACGGUUCCGCCUGCCGGAGAACGCCAAGGCGGACGGCAUCCGGUGCACCAUGCAGGACGGCGUGCUCAGGGUCGUCGUGCCCAAGGACGAGCAAGCCCAGAAGCAGCGCAACGUCCGCUCCAUCGACAUCGCCUAACGGCUAAAAGCACCGCACCGACGCAUGCAGUCAACGGCUUCCUAGCGUGACAUGCCCUCUCCUUCAACACCACUGAACUAUGUAUGGCGAUGACGUGUCUCUUACUUUAUUUGCGUGUACUGGUAGUAGCCAAUCUGUAUCGUGUGUUCUAUUUUAGCAGUAUGUACUGUAAGGCUAGGCUAUUCUGUACGGUAGUUUAGAAGUGUGUUGUAUGCGCCAUAUAGCUGCUACAGCAUACUGUACUUCCCAUCUCCAGUAUCCAUCGUAAACUGCAGUACGAAGGACCAGAAAUAUAUUUUUAAGACUGGCAGGGA
This is an RNA transcript of Triticum aestivum (bread wheat), 868 nucleotides long. It is a transcript of the gene named 17.4 kDa class I heat shock protein-like, with no coding region annotated. Lineage: Eukaryota; Viridiplantae; Streptophyta; Magnoliopsida; Poales; Poaceae. The transcript has 2 exons. The record is from RefSeq and is a predicted model, not a curated record.